This 497-nucleotide ribosomal RNA is filed under the name uncultured bacterium. RNAcentral's name for it is "partial 16S ribosomal RNA". It matches the Rfam family "Bacterial small subunit ribosomal RNA", at positions 28 to 507 of the family's 1533-position model. The record is from RNAcentral.
GAUGAACGCUGGCGGCGUGCCUAAUACAUGCAAGUCGAGCGAACGGACGAGAAGCUUGCUUCUCUGAUGUUAGCGGCGGACGGGUGAGUAACACGUGGAUAACCUACCUAUAAGACUGGGAUAACUUCGGGAAACCGUAGCUAAUACCGGAUAAUAUUUUGAACCGCAUGAUUCAAAAGUGAAAGACGUUCUUGCUGUCACUUAUAGAUGGAUCCGCGCUGCAUUAGCUAGUUGGUAAGGUAACGGCUUACCAAGGCAACGAUGCAUAGCCGACCUGAGAGAGUGAUCGGCCACACGGGAACUGAGACACGGUCCAGACUCCUACGGGAGGCAGCAGUAGGGAAUCUUCCGCAAUGGGCGAAAGCCUGACGGAGCAACGCCGCGUGAGUGAUGAAGGUCUUCGGAUCGUAAAACUCUGUUAUUAGGGAAGAACAUAUGUGUAAGUAACUGUGCACAUCUUGACGGUACCUAAUCAGAAAGCCACGGCUAACUACGUG